UGGAGAGAGGGUUUUUAUGUCACUGCCAUGGCAACUGCAGGAAGUAGAUGGGCGAUUGUUAUGUCUCGUGGGGCUGGGUUUUCGGAUCAGGUGGUGGAAUUAGAUUUUCUCUAUCCUAGUGAAGGGGUCCAUAGGAGAUGGGAUGCUGGAUAUAGGAUUACGUCAACUGCAGCCACAUGGGAUCAAGCUGCUUUAGUUCUAAGUGUUCCAAGAAGGAAACCUGCAGAUGAAACACAAGAGACACUUCGUACUUCUGCUUUUCCUAGCACUCAUGUCAAGGAGAAAUGGGCAAAAAAUCUUUACCUUGCAUCUAUCUGUUAUGGGCGAACUGUUUCUUGAGGCACCAAGGUUUGGCUGCUAAUUUUCUUGGGUGCCGUGUGAUAACCCUGAAUGUGCCUUGAGCAACAUCCUUCAUAUUUUUCUAACUAAUGGAGAAAAAUAGAUGAUACUGUUUCGUGCUUGUCAACCCGGCUUUUCUUUUCAUUUGGGAAUGCUAUUUGCAAAAUCCAUUGCCAUCAAUGUAUGUGAAUAUUAGUAUAGGCAGUUCUGGAGCUAGGAUGGGAGUAAUUUACAUAUUGGUUAAAGAUUGUACAGCUUAAACAAUAAUUAGUUUCAGAGACGACCAAAACAGGAUAUUCUGUAGUAUUGUGG
RNAcentral lists this unclassified non-coding RNA (651 nucleotides) under Hevea brasiliensis (rubber tree). The record is from RNAcentral. Lineage: Eukaryota; Viridiplantae; Streptophyta; Magnoliopsida; Malpighiales; Euphorbiaceae.